GGAUGUUGGGCGUAUUUUAGAGCCAGUUCUGUGGGAGAAAUUCUUAUCAACAUAAGGAAAAGUAACCGCAGAAAAGACCCAGUAUGCUGCUAAAUCAAACAUCAACUUCACCCAAUCAAAAAACACAGCGGAGAAAAAUAAUAUCUGCAUUACCCGCAGUUAAUUCUAGUCGGAUUACUUUGAAAAGGACAGUAAUUAACAAUUCUGCUGGGAUAUCAAGCUUCUUAAUAGAUCUAAAAUUUUCAAAUCGUAUGUCAGCAGUAUUAGCCACUUCUCUAGGAUAUUCCAAAAAGUUUUUCAAAAACAUUUCAGAUAAUUACAUUGUCCGUAUCUAAGGUUGUUGGAAAGAUGAAAAGCAAUCUCCAAAGAAAAUACAGUGUCAGAGAAACGUGUAGAAUUAAUUUAAAAUGAGACACGAGAAAAACCAAAGUGAAAAUUGUGGUUCUCUUAUGGAGGAGGAAGAGUAACGUUAUCAAUUUCUGGAGCUGUUGUAGAAAGUUUGGAGAAUCAUCUGCUGCAGUCAUUAAUAAUAAUAAAUGUAAUGAAGCUUGGAUGUUUACUACAGAAUUAUAUAAGGCGGAGUUUCAUACAAGAGAAAAAAGUAAGGAACAAAUAUGCUAAGACUGUCUCCAGCCAGAAUUAAACAUUCAGCAUCAAGACGAGUGGUGUAUUAGCUAAUUAUGAUUUUUCACGCAUGUAGGAGCCAAAUGGAAUAGUGAACUGCAGUUGUUGUGAAAGUGCGUUCCAACAGAAGGACUUUUGUUUGGAAUCAAAAGUUAGACCGUUGAGCUGGUGCCCCAAAGAGAAGCUAGUACUGUUCAGACUAUUGUAAAAAACAACAACAAGGGUUGUAAAACGAAUAGCAAAAACUGAGCAAAUACUUGUAAAAUAAAUUAAAUAAAAUGGGGACAAUUAAACAUUUAAUUAAGAACUUUUAUGAGUACCUUGUGUGUUUAUAGAAUAUCAAAAAUAUGUGGAUUCUCAAUGAUACUACAGCAUUUUAUGAGUACAGAAACACUCAUUUGGA
Molecule: long non-coding RNA, 1027 nt
Organism: Limulus polyphemus (Atlantic horseshoe crab)
Lineage: Eukaryota; Metazoa; Arthropoda; Merostomata; Xiphosura; Limulidae
Exons: 3
Source: RefSeq, a predicted model, not a curated record